UGGGGAAUAUUGCACAAUGGGCGCAAGCCUGAUGCAGCCAUGCCGCGUGUGUGAAGAAGGCCUUCGGGUUGUAAAGCACUUUCAGCGAGGAGGAAGGUGGUGGACUUAAUACGUUCAUCAAUUGACGUUACUCGCAGAAGAAGCACCGGCUAACUCCGUGCCAGCAGCCGCGGUAAUACGGAGGGUGCAAGCGUUAAUCGGAAUUACUGGGCGUAAAGCGCACGCAGGCGGUUUGUUAAGUCAGAUGUGAAAAUCCCCGGGCUCAACCUGGGAACUGCAUUUGAAAACUGGCAAGCUAGAGUCUCGUAGAGGGGGGUAGAAUUCCAGGUGUAGCGGUGAAAUGCGUAGAGAUCUGGAGGAAUACCGGUGGCGAAGGCGGCCCCCUGGACGAAGACUGACGCUCAGGUGCGAAAAGCGUGGGGAGCAAAACAGGAUUAGAUACCCUGGUAGUCCACGCUGUAAAACGAUGUCGAUUUUGGAGGUUGUGCCCUUGAGGCGUGGCUUCCGGAGCUAACGCGUU
This 520-nucleotide ribosomal RNA is filed under the name uncultured bacterium. RNAcentral describes it as "partial 16S ribosomal RNA". It matches the Rfam family "Bacterial small subunit ribosomal RNA", at positions 355 to 861 of the family's 1533-position model. The record is from RNAcentral.